UUGACCUCGGAUCAGGUAGGAAUACCCGCUGAACUUAAGCAUAUCAAAAGGCGGAGGAAGG
Molecule: ribosomal RNA, 61 nt
Filed under: Fusarium graminearum
Lineage: Eukaryota; Fungi; Ascomycota; Sordariomycetes; Hypocreales; Nectriaceae
Description: partial 28S ribosomal RNA
Source: RNAcentral